UACGUAGGGUGCGAGCGUUGUCCGGAAUUAUUGGGCGUAAAGAGCUCGUAGGCGGUCUGUCGCGUCGAUCGUGAAAACUUGGGGCUUAACCCUGAGCUUGCGGUCGAUACGGGCAUGACUGGAGUUCGGCAGGGGAGACUGGAAUUCCUGGUGUAGCGGUGAAAUGCGCAGAUAUCAGGAGGAACACCGGUGGCGAAGGCGGGUCUCUGGGCCGAUACUGACGCUGAGGAGCGAAAGCUAGGGGAGCAAACGGG
This 254-nucleotide ribosomal RNA is filed under the name uncultured bacterium. RNAcentral's name for it is "partial 16S ribosomal RNA". It matches the Rfam family "Bacterial small subunit ribosomal RNA", at positions 524 to 776 of the family's 1533-position model. The record is from RNAcentral.